This 1342-nucleotide ribosomal RNA is filed under the name uncultured bacterium. RNAcentral describes it as "16S ribosomal RNA". It matches the Rfam family "Bacterial small subunit ribosomal RNA", at positions 28 to 1378 of the family's 1533-position model. The record is from RNAcentral.
GACGAACGCUGGCGGCGUGCUUAACACAUGCAAGUCGAACGGAAAGGCCCUGCUUUUGUGGGGUGCUCGAGUGGCGAACGGGUGAGUAACACGUGAGUAACCUGCCCUUGACUUUGGGAUAACUUCAGGAAACUGGGGCUAAUACCGGAUAGGAGCUCCUGCUGCAUGGUGGGGGUUGGAAAGUUUCGGCGGUUGGGGAUGGACUCGCGGCUUAUCAGCUUGUUGGUGGGGUAGUGGCUUACCAAGGCUUUGACGGGUAGCCGGCCUGAGAGGGUGACCGGCCACAUUGGGACUGAGAUACGGCCCAGACUCCUACGGGAGGCAGCAGUGGGGAAUAUUGCACAAUGGGCGGAAGCCUGAUACAGCAACGCCGCGUGCGGGAUGACGGCCUUCGGGUUGUAAACCGCUUUCGCCUGUGACGAAGCGUGAGUGACGGUAAUGGGUAAAGAAGCACCGGCUAACUACGUGCCAGCAGCCGCGGUGAUACGUAGGGUGCGAGCGUUGUCCGGAUUUAUUGGGCGUAAAGGGCUCGUAGGUGGUUGAUCGCGUCGGAAGUGUAAUCUUGGGGCUUAACCCUGAGCGUGCUUUCGAUACGGGUUGACUUGAGGAAGGUAGGGGAGAAUGGAAUUCCUGGUGGAGCGGUGGAAUGCGCAGAUAUCAGGAGGAACACCAGUGGCGAAGGCGGUUCUCUGGGCCUUUCAUGACGCUGAGGAGCGAAAGCGUGGGGAGCGAACAGGCUUAGAUACCCUGUAGUCCACGCUGUAAACGGUGGGUACUAGGUGUGGGGUCCAUUCCACGGGUUCCGUGCCGUAGCUAACGCUUUAAGUACCCCGCCUGGGGAGUACGGCCGCAAGGCUAAAACUCAAAGGAAUUGACGGGGCCCCGCACAAGCGGCGGAGCAUGCGGAUUAAUUCGAUGCAACGCGUAGAACCUUACCUGGGUUUGACAUGGAUCGGGAGUGCUCAGAGAUGGGUGUGCCUCUUUUGGGGUCGGUUCACAGGUGGUGCAUGGCUGUCGUCAGCUCGUGUCGUGAGAUGUUGGGUUAAGUCCCGCAACGAGCGCAACCCUUGUUCACUGUUGCCAGCACGUUAUGGUGGGGACUCAGUGGAGACCGCCGGGGUCAACUCGGAGGAAGGUGGGGAUGACGUCAAGUCAUCAUGCCCCUUAUGUCCAGGGCUUCACGCAUGCUACAAUGGCUGGUACAGAGAGUGGCGAGCCUGUGAGGGUGAGCGAAUCUCGGAAAGCCGGUCUCAGUUCGGAUUGGGGUCUGCAACUCGACCUCAUGAAGUCGGAGUCGCUAGUAAUCGCAGAUCAGCAACGCUGCGGUGAAUACGUUCCCGGG